This 335-nucleotide unclassified non-coding RNA is filed under the name soil metagenome. RNAcentral's name for it is "partial contains 5.8S ribosomal RNA, internal transcribed spacer 2, and large subunit ribosomal RNA". The stretch from base 1 to 120 matches the Rfam family "5.8S ribosomal RNA", at positions 35 to 154 of the family's 154-position model. The record is from RNAcentral.
GAUGAAGAACGCAGCGAAAUGCGAAAAGUAGUGUGAAUUGCAGAAUUCAGUGAAUCAUCGAAUCUUUGAACGCACAUUGCGCCCCUUGGUAUUCCAUGGGGCAUGCCUGUUCGAGCGUCAUCUACACCCUCAAGCUCUGCUUGGUGUUGGGCGUCUGUCCCGCCUCUGCGCGCGGACUCGCCCCAAAUUCAUUGGCAGCGGUCCUUGCCUCCUCUCGCGCAGCACAUUGCGCUUCUCGAGGUGCGCGGCCCGCGUCCACGAAGCAACAUUACCGUCUUUGACCUCGGAUCAGGUAGGGAUACCCGCUGAACUUAAGCAUAUCAAUAAGCGGAGGA